Molecule: long non-coding RNA, 4666 nt
Organism: Papio anubis (olive baboon)
Lineage: Eukaryota; Metazoa; Chordata; Mammalia; Primates; Cercopithecidae
Source: Ensembl
AGGCUGGAAGGAGGAAACCAGUGAUGAAGGAUUUGCCAUAACCUUGUCCUGGAAGAAGAGCCAUGGCCAAAGUAGAUGGAGAGGAAUGGCCAUGCAAGGCAGCUGUGAUGGAUUCACCUCCGUGCAAGACAGCUAUGACAGAGUUGAUAGAAAGUAUGAGAACAUGGGCCACCCCUCCUUGGAUGUUCUGGACCAGGGGCCUUUCUUCAUCAGAGUCACCAGGAAACCUUGUCAAAGAGGAGAUACCCAGGCUUUACACCAGCCUUUGGGAGGGCCUGAGAGUGAGCAUCUCCCAGGGAAGAGGAAGGAGGAAAGCUGCUAACACCUGGGAAUAAUCGCUCAAUAGCAGGAGCAGCUAAAUUCUUCUUUAAAGGACUAGAUAGUAAAUAUUUUAGACUCUGCAGACCUUUAGUCUCUGUUGCAACUAUUUGGCUCUGUUACUGUCAUUUGAAAGCAACCACAGACAAUACGUACAUGGAUGAGGGUGGGUGCAUUCCAAUAAAACUUUAUUUGCAAAGUGGCGCACUGGAUUUGGCCCCUGGUAGUUUACUGCCCCUUGUCUAUAGCAUGCAAAGUGCCCCCAUAGCCUGUCUCUCUGGUUGUUUUCCCAGCAGCCCUGUGAGGAGGGUAUGCUUUUCUCCAUUCUACAGAUGAGGAGAUGGAGGCCCAGGGAGGUUAGACAUCCAGGGUCCCCCAGAAAGUGCAUGUCAGAGCUGGGAGUAGAAUUAGACUUCCUGAUCCCAGUUCAGUGUGCUGGAAAGUAUGAGCCUAGUAAGAAGGUCUGGGCCGGGGAGAUUGCUAUUAAUGAAUGAAAGCAGCCACCAUUCACUGGGUACUUGCCAUGUGCCAGGCACUGAGUCAUGACCUCACAUAAGCUGCUACCCAGAUGUUGAAUGUCAUUGUCUCUGUCACAUGGGGUGGUCACAGCCUCCCUGGGAGGUAGGAAGGCAUCUGCAGCGUGUCAAAACCAGCUUAUCUCGGGUGCCCCAAUACACCUGACAUGUUACAGCUGCACUACGAGAAGGUGAAAGCUGCUGACAAGAUGUAUUUGCCUUUCCAUUCGUGAGAAUGUAUGCAUUCUCUCUCUCUCUCUCUCUCUCUCUCUCCUCUCUCUCUCUCCCUGUGUGUCUCUUUUUUUUUCUCUCUCUCUUUUUCUCUCUCAUUCCAAGACACAUACACACACCCCAGUCUCAAACAAUCAUCAAAUAGACAUGUGGUCAGUUCAGUGACCUCCUUGUGCUAGGUAGAAGAACACAAAAUCCAAGGCCUGGAAGUGACUUGUCUGGUUGACAUGAGAUGUCCCCACUGAGAUCAGGAACCGGGAAACUGCCUGGUAUGGGGAAAAGAAUGCUGGACUUCCAGUUGGUCUGGAUUCCACGCCACAGCCUGACCCUGAUCGGCGGGUGACUUUAGGUGCCACUCUCCUCAUUUCUAAAAUGGGUGUCACUUUCCUAAUUCACCAACUGGGUGGGAAGUAGGUUUGUUCAUUUGUUCAAGCCAUUCAUUCGUCCAUCCGUUCACUUCCAACUAUGUAGUAAGCACCUUCAGUGUGCCAAACACAGCUAGAUCAUUUGAUUUGCAACUCUAAAGAUUUAAGAUUUGAUCCUUCCUACACCUGUUUAAGAGUUAGCACCUAAAUGGUAGGUCUUUUGACUCAAGGACGCCUUGUGCUAGAAUUUCCCUCUAGGUAAAAAAUGUAUCUUUCUCCCAUGCAUAAAGUGGGCUUUGGCAGGCCAGGUGCGAUGGCUAAUGCCUGUAAUCCCAGCUCUUUGGGAUGCCGAGAUGGGAGGAUCACCUGAGUCCAGGAGUUUGAGACUAGCCUAGUCAACAUGGAGAGACCCUAUCUCUACAAAAAAAAAAAAAAAAAAAAAUUAGCCAGGCAUGGUGUUGCAUGGUGUGCAUGUCUGUGGUCUCAGCUACAUGGUAGGCUGAGGCAGGAGGAUUGCUUGAACCCAGGACUUAGAGGCUGCAGUGAGCCGUGUUUGCACCACUGCACUCCAGCCUAGGUGACAGAGCAAGACACUGUUUCAGAACAAACAAAGUAGGUCUUGGCAAGAAUGUAGUGCCAGCUCCGCAUGCCAGUUUAUUCAUCCAGUCUUCCAUUUAUACAUUCUGUCUAUCCAUCCACCCACCCACCUGCCCAUCCAUUCAUCCACCCAUCCAUUCAUUCAUCCAUCUAUCCAUCCAUCCAUCCAUCCAUCCAUCCAUCCAUCCAUCCAUCCGUCCGUCCAUCCAUCCAUUUUUCCACAUGAACCCUUGCAUCCCUCUAUGCAAUCAUCCAUCUAUUCAAUCCAUCCAUUUAUCCAUCCAUGUAUUUACUAAUCACUUCUAUGUGCCUAGCUCAACUCUGUCCACUGACUCCAACCCCCAGGAAGGCCCCAUGCCCAUAGUCACCUUGGGUUUGAGGCAGAGGUGAUGGAAAGCUCAGAGUCUAGGUAGCAAUAAUUUCCGAUUCUCAGAAUCCAGGAACUCUCUGAAAUGCCCUCAGGCACUUUGAGAGUAAGCAGAGCCAGAGACAGACUCAUUCAGGCUGCACACACAUCCCCUGUUUAGAUGCAGCCCUUCCUCUUGGUUCUGCUCUAGCCUCUCCCUCUGUAAGAAUACCUGAAGCCCCGGCCUUGGCCCUGUGUCAACUAAAAAGAAUCCUACAUGAAUGGGUAAACAAACUGUGGCAUAUCCAUGCAACAAAAUAGUACACAGCUGUGAAAAGGAAUGAGGCACUGACACAUGCCUCAAUAUGGCUGAACCUUGCAAACACUGUGCUAAGUGAAAAAAAACAGACACAAAAGACCACGCAUUGCAUGAUUCCAUUUGUCAGAACAGGCAAAUCCAUAGAGACAGAAAGGAGAUUAGUGGUUGCCAGGGGCUGAGGGGAGGAAAGAAUGAGGGAUGAUUGCUAAAGGAUACAGGAUUCUUUUGGAGAUGAUGAAAUGUUCUGGAAUUAGUAGUGAUGGUUGCACAACGUUGUGAAUAAAAAUCACGGGAUUGUGUACUUUAAAAGGGUGAACUUUAUGGAAUAUAAAUUAUUUUGGAAAAAUUUUAAAGUUAUUAAAAACCUUAAAAAUAGAAAAAAUAAUAUUUCUAUGUGUUGUUAUUAUUAUUAUUAUUAUUAUUUGAGACCGGGCAUCACUCUGUCACCAAGGCUAGGGUGCAGUGGCACAAUCAUGGCUCAUUGCAGCCUUGACCUGCUAUGCUCAGGUGAUCCUCCCGCCUCAGCCUCCUGAGUAGCUGGGACUAUAGGACUGCACCACCACACCCAGCUAGUUUUCUGUAUUUUUUGAAGAUGGGGCUUUGCCAUGUUGCCCAGGUUGGUCUCAAACUGCUGGCUCAAGUGAUCCCCCUGUCUCGGCCUCCCAAAGUGCUGGGAUUAUAGGUGUGGGCCACUGCACCUGGCCUAUGUGUUAUUAAAUAUGCAUUUCCCAGCCUUCUGGUGACAGAGUGAGGGAAGGUAGCACUGAUGCUGUUUCCCAGCAGAGAAGCUGGAAUCUCAGAGAGGAGGGAGGGCCUGUCAGGCUGGCAUUGCUAAUUAGUGGUGGAGAUGGGACAAGAAGUAGGGCCAGACUCUUGGUCUUUCCCUCUUGGUCUCUUUCCCUCAUGUCAGACUGCCUGAUGAGCAGAUGGCACUUCCUGAGCCAAUCUCCAACUCUGUCUGUAUCUGCCACCUUUAGUCCAGGGGCCACUGCAGGCACAGCUCGCACUGGAGGAGGCUGUCAUGACAGCUAAUGGCUGCCACUUGAGGAGUUAUGCUUGGUGCCAGGCACAGGGGCAUCAAUGAGGGUGGUCUUAUCUCAUUCCCAAAGACCUCUGUCAUGGACCUUGUUAAGAGUGCCAAACCCCUUCUACAUGAGCACGCUGGUCUUUCCUGGGGCGUCCUCAGUGAACACAGACUGGUGGGAGGUCAUGGUAUCCCAACCCUAGAGACCAAAGAAAUGGGCAGGAGAUAAGCAUAGAACCUCGACUGGGCCUUGAACAUUGAGCAUGCAGAGGCUCAGCGGCCUCUGCAGUCCUGCCCAUGACUGUGGCUGUGGCAGCCGGCACCCUGGGCUGCUCCUGCUUGCUCUAGAGUCUACUGCCUUGAUUGAUGAAUCACUAUUUGACCUAUUCCUCUAUCACUCCUUGCAUUCUAUCUACUUUCUAGGCCUGGUCUUCCAGUUUCCUAUAGAUUCUGUGAGCUUCUGAUAUCCUUUCAUUAAAUUCCCUUUUGCACUCGUCAGAGACAGAGUCAGGUUCUGUCGCUUGCAACCAUUCACUCUGACCGAUGCAUCCCUAUGAGAUACGAGAUACUCUUAUUUGGCCCAUUUUACAGAUGAGAAAAUUGAGGCUCAGGGCCCCCCAGAUUAUGAGUGACAAAGCAAAGAUGUAAACCCAGGUCUGUUUGACUUCCAGAGCCCGAUCUCUCAACCUCUACUGAGAAAGAAGAGCCAGCAAACCUUUCCUGUGUGUUUCCUAUAAGCCAGACCUUGAGCAAAUCCUCUAAGCAAAUCUAUAAAUCCUCUAAGCCAGACCUAUAAGCAAAUCCUCUCAACAGCUCUAUUAAGGAGGAAUUGUCCCACUUUUAGAGGUGUGGAAACUGAGGAUCAAGGAGACGAUGUAACUGAUUUAUAGGUACCAGAGCUGAGAUUAAAACUGAGGUUCACCUGGCUCCAAAUCCCCACACUUUUAUAUA